RNAcentral lists this ribosomal RNA (253 nucleotides) under uncultured bacterium. RNAcentral's name for it is "partial 16S ribosomal RNA". It matches the Rfam family "Bacterial small subunit ribosomal RNA", at positions 524 to 776 of the family's 1533-position model. The record is from RNAcentral.
UACGAAGGGUGCAACCGUUGCUCGGAAUUACUGGGCGUAAAGCGUGCGUAGGUGGUUUGUUAAGUCUGAUGUGAAAGCCCUGGGCUCAACCUGGGAAUUGCAUUGGAUACUGGCAGGCUAGAGUGCGGUAGAGGAUGGCGGAAUUCCCGGUGUAGCAGUGAAAUGCGUAGAGAUCGGGAGGAACACCUGUGGCGAAGGCGGCCAUCUGGACCAGCACUGACACUGAGGCACGAAAGCGUGGGGAGCAAACAGG